This 3228-nucleotide long non-coding RNA is filed under the name Brachypodium distachyon (stiff brome). RNAcentral describes it as "long non-coding RNA (BDIS_LNC002601)". Lineage: Eukaryota; Viridiplantae; Streptophyta; Magnoliopsida; Poales; Poaceae. The record is from RNAcentral.
ACUGAUAUUGAAGACCACCAUAUUUUGACGUGCCACAUUCCUCUUGUGUAGGUGACGUGGCGUGAGUGUGGCAAUCGUGGCUGUGUGCAUCGACCUUGUAUUCUCUGAACCCGUAUUUGAUCCCCAUAUUGGUGCUUUCUAGAUCCCUUGUACUGGAGCUAGACCUGCAUUUGAUCCUGAUUUGACUCUUUUUUUAAUGAAAUUAGGCUGCCAAUAUUGACUGCUGCAACUGGGGCUCUUGGGGCAACAUUCAGUCCUCAUUUAGACAGUUAUGAUCCCCAACCUUCUGAACUUCCAUCUUCAUCAGUAUCCCCAAGGUAAAAUUCAAGCUUCGUUUUCAUUUAUAUUACAGGGUUUUAGAUUUCAUAUUGGAGAAAAGGCUUUUUUUCCCAGCUUGUAUUGAAAGCCAUAUCACAAGUUGCUGAGGUUAGACCAUUCACAGUGCCGAACUGAUUCAAAGAAAAAUUUGGCAGGGUUUGGAAUCUCUUCCAUUUCACUCUAGUGUUGAAAAAUUGUAAUCACUUUCCAUGUGGAGUUGCAACUUAUUCAUGUACCAUCCAGCCUUAGUUUUCUCUUUCCAUAUGGGCCAACCAUCUUUACUCUUGAGUCCUGACACAUUGAUUUGUCUGAACCAAAGCAACAAUUUAGUUUGCUUCCUGCUUUGACACACUAAUUCAUCAAUCUCCAAUGAACCGACUCAAGCAAGGCUUCAAACCACUUCUCCACCACACUGUGAAUGGUCUUACCAGUUAGCAGCUUGAAAUUUUGGUAGCAUAAUGCCUGUAAACUUGGAUCUAAAUAAGUCACAAGCAAGCAAAAUAUGCAUAUAGCUUCCGAAGGAGAGCAAUAUCACCCCAGAGCCCCCCUCACCCCCAUAGAGCCAAGCCUCAGCUCAGUCCUCAUCAUCACAACAUCGAUCCUACUGCAAACCAAGAUUCAAAUGAAUCUUAGCCAGUAAAUGGUACAAUUGCCACAUAUAACAUUGAAACUGUAUAGGUGAAGGUCUCAAGAGCUCGCCUGCUGUUUCCCUUCCUCGGGAUUACCUCACUUCUAGUCAUCUACUUCGCGAUGAGAAAAUCUAGACAGUAGUUGUAGUUACAUCAGAUUGUUUCUAAAGAUUUUGGCUGUUUUCAGUGCAAUCAGGAUAACAAUAUUUUGGAUUAUUGAUGCACCUAAACACCUUAGGGCCUCUUUGAUUCGCAUGAUUUUGAAAAUGUAGGAAUAGGAAAAACACAGGAAUAUGAUAGGAAUGCAUGUGCAAAACAGAGGAUCGAAAAACACAGGGAUUUUAUAGACUUUGAUGUUUGAUUCACAGGAAUAGGAAAAACACAGGAAUCCUAAUAAACAUGGUCAAUUUAGGUCAAACCAUUAACAAAAGUAAAUGAUUAGUGUUCAUAUCCCACUAAAUACCAUUGUCCUGUUGUUUGUGCAAAGGAAUUCAAAAAAGAGGUCUAGGUGGAUUGUAGAAGUCCUGUGUUUUUCCUUUGAAAAUGGGGUGAACGGAAACUUUUCCAGUGUUUUUCCUAUACUAAUUCCUUUGAAUCAAAUGGUGAAUACUCUCACUAAAGGAAAACUUUCCUAUUCCUGUGGUUUUCCUAUGAAUCAAAGAGGCCUUUAACCUUAGAGCUAAGUUUUUCUAUUUAUUUUUCACAAAAAAAGACGUCAAUUCUUUUGGUUACACUUAAUUUAAUGGCUGGUUUAAAAACUUACAAGUUUCUUAACUAGUCUUUCUAUGUACUUCUGUGUUCCCUGUGCAAGUCUUAGUCUUGCUUUAGCUGUCUUCUUGGGAACUCUAGUACUCGUAUAAUAGUCUUUUGACUGUCAAAAGAUGUUUACGCAUGCACAGUGAGUAUACUGUUGCCUGGAUAAUGGAGGCAGGACGUGCAAGGUUUUUUCCUUGUUUUACCACUUGUUCCAUUGAUUUUUAUAUGCGUCAACUCAACGCCUUGCACUCAUGAAUUUGUGCAAAUUUAUAAUUAUGUUUCUGGGUGUGUAUUUCCUUUCUUGAUUCUAGCUAGUUCGUUUCAGAUUCUAGUUUUUCUAUCCAUGUGGCCAACGGUCUAACUAUUUAAAUUUAGAUUCUAUGACUUUUUUUUGCGGCGAAUAUUCUUUGACUUGUUGCUUGUUGAACUUGCAUUGUUCUUGCUCUCUUUACAAACAAUAACUAUUGUGCAGUAGGACAAAGGUUAUCCAUUGAUUUAUCUUAAUUCUUUGUUUCCCUGCAGAAACCUGGGUGCAACUGAAGUUCCUCGCUGAACUCCGAAGAAAUACCAGGUGAAACCACUACUCAAUUACUUUUGUGUUUUUUUUUCUUUUAGUGUUGACUGAUUUUUAAAUGGUUUUCAUUUCCCUGAUAUUAUUCUAAAAGUAUACGAGUUAUUUGUGUUAUUUUUCAUACCUUUUUGGCCGAGGUUGUAGGUCAUGAAUUUGGUCAGCGCAAGAACAGAACUCGCAGGUAAGUUCAGACCGUGGGGAUUCAUUAGGUCUAUGCUUUGUGUGUUGAAGUAUAUGCAUUGACAUCAGUUACAUUUUUGGUUAGAUACUCGGAGAUGAACUUUACUUCAUCAUGAUGAGUUUGGUCACUGACAAAGUGGACUCGUGGAACCAGCUUUCAGUCUCUACAGAACUAGCACAAUCUAUUGUUAGAGUGGUCAAUUAUAUUGGCGUACAUGUCAGUACUUUCUUAAGACCCAAGUCCUGAGCCCCUGUAUUUUGCUCUGAAACAUUCCAUUCAGCAGGUAUGCACAUUUCUUUUGCAGUUUUCGAGUAGUUGUGAUCGUAGAAUCCGAUACUCGUACCUUCUCCAUUAUUUACUGCAGUUGCCUUGAUUGCAUUGAGAUGUGAAUCUGUACGGUUUUGUUAUAGUACUCGUAUUCUCUAGCAGUUCAGCAAUCACUAGGAAUGCUAACCAAUCUGUAUUCCGAAGUAUAUGUAUUGCGAUCGUGCAUUGUUUCUUCAGCUAUUUACUCCCGUGUAUGCUUGAUGUAAUGCCCGAAAUCAGUGGAUAGGUUCACCAGUGUAAAUCUGUAAUAUCGCUGCUCAUUGCACCCUUGCCAGGUUGGACUUUUCAAGUAAUACAAGACCUUGCUGUAGUCAUGGGUGCUGGCCUGCGGCCUGCCUCUUCUUCCGGGCUUCGGGUUGUUAGGUAAGAUCUCUGUGGUAUAUACGAUAAGCUAUGUUGAUUUUUCAUGGGCUUGCUUUUAUUGAUUGCUUAUGACCUUAGCAGUU